Long non-coding RNA from Candoia aspera, 2249 nucleotides. RefSeq lists it as uncharacterized. The record is from RefSeq and is a predicted model, not a curated record. Lineage: Eukaryota; Metazoa; Chordata; Lepidosauria; Squamata; Candoiidae. The transcript has 5 exons.
UGGGUCUUGAAGCAGCGGGGGGCGGGAAGAGUGGGCUGCCAGUUCGGAGUUUGGAAAAACUGGAGUGCGGGGGGGAUAGAGAGGGAGGUUGUUUUCAGUGGCUUUUGGAAAGGAGCCGCUUUGGUGGGAUUCCUUUGCGAUUGUUGAGCAUGUUGUGGAAUGCUCUGUACUCCGAAUCUUCCCUUGUUUCGCAAUGAGCCCUUUCCGGUUAUGUAUUGGCUGCUUCCAGCCAUUAUAUGUCCAAGUUUAUAUCUCGCCUGCUUUGCGAGCUUAGUCUGUGCGCUGAGUUUAGGGUUCAAGAAGUUAGAAUUAAGACCAGUGUUUCUCAAUCGCAGAGCCUUUAAGUUGUGUGGACUUCAACUCCCAGAAUUCCUCAGCACAGUUGAAAGACUCUGAGAUUGAGAAACACUGAUUUAGACCAUUGGGUUAACUGAAUAAACUGGGGCUCGCUUAAGCCUGGCUAAAUGCGAGCGCGGCCAGGGUUACCUCUCCACUGAUUUCGCCGGACUUCCUUACUUCCAAGACUCAAAGUAAAAAGGAGGAAAGGUAAGAUUACCGAAUCUGGGCUCCAAAAGGACGGCCGCGUAAACUCUCCUCGCUGACAUGUAGCAGCCUAAACGUGGGAAUAAAAAAGGGAAACAAAGACCAACCAUUUGAAUGUUCUACAAUAGAACAGUAACGGCAAAGAGUUACAUUUGUUAUGCAAUCGUAGGUGCCCGCCGAGGGGAUUAAAUUACAAAACGUGCAUAUUAAAUGUGUUCAUUUCUCUAUUUUUAAACCAAAGUUACAGAUUUGGGAAGCUGUAGGCAGCUUGGAGUUGGCUAUUGCAGGGACCUAUAAACCCUGUAAAUAACUAAACAUUGACAUAAUCAUGCAAAUACCGUGACAUGUAUUUGUAUCAGACACCAAGAUGUGAGUAUAUUUGGUGGCAUUUGUGUGAUGAUGUACCAUGUGCACGGUGUCAUUGUAGCUUGCUGUGGACGUUUACUUUUAUUUCUGGCAGGCUUCUCUACUGACGUUUAUUUGACAUCUAGUCUCACACCAUUCAGCACCCCAGAUGAUGGGAAGGUUCCACCAUGCUCCUCAUCUUGGCUGACCCGCUUACCUGUUCAGAUCAAGUGGAGAACCUAUGCCCAAUCCAUGAACAUAAUUGUUUAGGGGGAAAGGUGAUUCCCCCCCCCUGUUACUAUGGUAAGUAUUGCCCCGUGAUAUUCAGAUUACUGCCUUUCUGACUGACUUCUUCCAUCUUCUCCAAUAUCUCCUGCCCUGUUGAGUCUCCACCACAUAAGAGCCUCUUCUCUCUUUUGAACAUAGAAGCUGGAAUCCAUCUGUUGUCCAAUGUUCAAAAAGGGCAAUGACAAACAGGAACAAGUUUAAAGGGGGUCUGCCAAGAUGGAGAAGAAUCUGGAAACCAAGCCCUAACAGGAACAAAUAAAUGAUCGAGAGACUUGUUCAGCUGGUUCAUGUGAUGAAAGAUGUCUGCUAAGUAUGCUAAUUUCUGCAACCAUUCUCCAUCUUCAAAGCACUCAGCAAAAUGUGGAAUACUAUUUUCUCAAAAAUACUCUUGCAGUUCUGCCUUCAACUCAAACACCCUGUUGAGAACUCUUCCUCUGCUGAGCCACAAUAUUUCUGUAUGUAACAGGAGACUUAGGUGCUCUUUGUCCAGGUUUUCACACAAUUUUUAAACAUUCUGGAGUGAACUGCUUUUUGUUUAAUAAAGUUAACCAUUUUUUAGCAUCAUCCAGAACUUUUUUCAUUUCAUCUCCAAGAGUUUUUUACAUCAACACCUCUCUAUGAAGAAAGCAGUGUGUUGUGACAACAUCAGGAUUUUCUUUUCUUACAAGAGAAACAAAACCUCUCGUGGAGCCAACCAUUGAUGGAGCACCAUCAGUAUAGAUGCCAACACAGUUCCUCCAAGACAGACUUUUGCUGGCUGGGGAAUUCUGGGAGUUGAAGUCCACGCAUUUUAAAGUUGCCAAGGUUGAGAAACACUGAUAUAAGGUAUAUCGUUGACCACUGUCUAUUUUUACAUCCUUUUGGUGGCCUUCAGACACCCUCCUUAUAGUCUAUAGUCCUAAUAUUAAUAUUAAGAAUUGUUAAAGAUAUAUUUUAGUGUUCUAAUUUUAUAGCAUUGUGUUAACUUUUAGUUAUCUUUCCUAAAUUUCAGUGGUAUUAUUGGAAUGGAUAUCAUUUUUCUUGUUUGCAUUUUAUACUUUACAGUAUACUGAAAUAAAGAUUUGAUUGAUUGA